GCGAUCUGAAACAAUGGCCUCAGCACCCGAAGAGGUAGGGAUAAGUUGACCAGACGUCCCGUAUUUCCCGGGAGUCACAAUUCGUUGUCGAUUAACUUAAAGUUAGUGAUAGGCGGAAUCGUGCUGAUAGAAGUGCUGUCUCUCGAGCACGCUCCACUUCUUCAGUUCUCAUAUACAGCGCGCGAUCAGUUCUCAGUGCUCAAAUACACACACAGCAGUCCUAAUGUCUAUAGUGUAGAGUAUCUCACAUUCGGUUAUGGAUUAAGUUAACAUAAACAGGUGGGUGAAAACUGAACGUGUAUCAG
Molecule: long non-coding RNA, 305 nt
Organism: Sinocyclocheilus rhinocerous
Lineage: Eukaryota; Metazoa; Chordata; Actinopteri; Cypriniformes; Cyprinidae
Exons: 2
Source: RefSeq, a predicted model, not a curated record